ACUUGGUAUUGGAUUGAAAAAUAAAAUCAAUAAUAUCGUCCAUUCCUACUCUGAUGGCAAACUGAGCCUUGCUGCUCCCUCUUUCUGAUUGGUCAGCUCCCCCCACCCUGCUCCCCACCUCUCAUUUUCUCUCAUUCUCCCUCUCUCUCUCUCUCUCUCUCUCUCUCUCUCUCUCUCUCUCUCUCUCUCUGCUUAAAUACUUUUAACAAAAAGGACUGAAGGAGGAGGGAGAGGGGGAUGGGAAUGAUGGGGGAAGGGAAUUGUGUUUGAGUGUAUGUGUGUGUUGUCACUAGAGAGAGCGAUAGAGAGGGAGAGAGUAGAGUGGUGUUUAGUCCGUACGUGGAAAAACAUAGUCGUGCAUGCACAGACUAGCGGGGAUUAUCUAUCUGUUCUAAAUCUGAUAGAGAAAUGCAGGCAUGAAUAGGUGUCUCUUUAUACACUCUCAUGAUCACUGUAUCAAGGUUUGAAGAAGUGUGCAUUUGUGUUUCUGGAGUUGGGAAAACAGGACAGUGUCAGUGCUCAUUCUUCUGAGCUUUCUCACACGUCUGAGAAAAUGUACAAAUGUCAAAAUUAAGUCUACAAUUUGCAAAAUGCAUGGAUCUUUUUAGUGGUAUUUGCUUUCUUCAAGGUUUUCACUUUACAUUUUCAAUGCAAAUUAAGUUUAAUAAUAAUAAUAAUAAUAAUAAUAAUAAUAAUAAUAAUAAUAAUAAAAUGCAAGAUGUUGUAACCAACAAAUCACCAAUUCUAAGUAAAGAUUUGUCUAUAUUUUUGAGUUCAUUGAUAAAGAGUACUUUAUGAUAGAAACAGUAUUGAAUGUUUUCAAUACUGUUGAAUGUCAGAGGAAGUGUGUGUUGUCCUGCAUGGUGUGUCAGAGCGGAGCGAGUGGCUUCCAGAGCACCGUGAGAAGCCACAUUGUUUGACUGGCAUGAUUAUGUAAUAUUUUUCAUUCAUGUGUUAGCUCCUCUGUGCUCUCACUUGAAAGGGAAUGGCAUUCCUCUCUGAGAUCCUCAGCACCGAGCUGCUUGAAUCUAGCGUUUCAGAAAACUAGUGGUUUAGACCACAGUGAUUUAAACUGUUAGGUGUGUCACAAUUACUAUGUAAUUAUUGUUAAAUGAUUGUUCAACUAUUUGAGGUAGUUGUGAUUUAAUCAUUAAUAUUUCCAAAUUCAUACAUUUCCAGAUCAAUAAAAUGUUUAAUUCCUGAUUUUUUUCAUUCUUGAUUUAUUAUUCAUUUAUAAACUAUAUAUAUAUAUAUAUAUAUAUAU
Molecule: long non-coding RNA, 1264 nt
Organism: Ictalurus punctatus (channel catfish)
Lineage: Eukaryota; Metazoa; Chordata; Actinopteri; Siluriformes; Ictaluridae
Source: Ensembl